GGGGCUGACAGGAAUCGACAGGAAGGUGUGUCAUGUCAGUAAGCAUGCCGGGGAAUGAUAGUUCACCCCGUUAACAAAUGGCUGUCGACCAAUAAUUGGCGAAACACGUUUCGCUAUGGCUGCCUAGUUCUAGGUAAUUAGCUAGCCAUUAUGCCACAGGUUUGAUAUCUGCUACAAAAUCUGCCGCAUACCAUAAAAUGCAGAAUAAGCCAAAGGGAUGUCCCGACCGGAGGCCGACAAUCAAAAGGAAUCGAAUGACACCGCGUCGUUACAGUACCUGGUGUUGUUUUAAAUCCGAUCUGUAACUAAGCAUGUAGAAGGCUGAGGUGAGCUUUAUCUGGACGGGGGUUCAAUUCCCCCCAGCUCCACAA
This 371-nucleotide transfer-messenger RNA is filed under the name Saprospiraceae. RNAcentral describes it as "JADKGY01 sp016722045 Standard tmRNA". It matches the Rfam family "transfer-messenger RNA". From Rfam's summary of the family: Bacterial tmRNA, also known as 10Sa RNA or SsrA, is named for its dual tRNA and mRNA-like properties. Its role is to liberate the mRNA from a stalled ribosome. To accomplish this part of the tmRNA is used as a reading frame that ends in a translation stop signal. RNAcentral also lists the same sequence under 1 other name. The record is from RNAcentral. Lineage: Bacteria; Pseudomonadati; Bacteroidota; Saprospiria; Saprospirales.